UAGGGAAUCUUCCACAAUGGGCGAAAGCCUGAUGGAGCAACGCCGCGUGUGUGAUGAAGGGUUUCGGCUACGUAAAACACUGUUGUAAGAGAAGAAUGACAUUGAGAGUAACUGUUCAAUGUGUGACGGUAUCUUACCAAGAAAGGAACGGCUAAAUACGUGCCAC
RNAcentral lists this ribosomal RNA (166 nucleotides) under uncultured bacterium. RNAcentral's name for it is "partial 16S rRNA". It matches the Rfam family "Bacterial small subunit ribosomal RNA", at positions 355 to 511 of the family's 1533-position model. The record is from RNAcentral.